UCUCUGUGGCCAGAGUCCAGAGAUAUGCACUUUGUUGUCUAAAAAUUCCCAAAGUCACACCUUACUUAGGCCAUCUUUAUAGGGACAUCUUUAUGGGUGUUCUUGAGCUUAUAUUUAUUCAAAAUAAUUCGAAAUUGGGCUUAGAUCAUAAAACAUGUUCUUAUUUCGGAACUGUUGUUAGGUGUGUUCUUCUGUGACGUGUCGCAAUGGUAUUGGAAAGAAAUAUUUGGGGGUCGAAAGUUUUAUUUGGUUUCUUCUUCCAGUGAGUCUUGUUGUUUUGGUCGGUCGAGAGAUUUCUCUCGUUUCAUCUUCUUCCAUCGGCGACGACGAUUUGCUCAGAAACAAAACAGUUUCUCAUCGGAGAAGAAUCUCGUUUACGAUUCUCCUUCUCCUAAUCUUGUUUAGUACAAGGGUCUCUGGUUCGAUUGAUGAAUCUGGAAGAAGAGUGAUUGAAGCGAGAACUGGGCAAGACUUGAUUUGGGUUGUUCAGCUUUCCGAUCUUCAUUUCAGUGUUCAUCAUCCCGAAAGAGCCAUUGAUUUCAAAAACAUCGUUGGUCCUGCUCUGUCUCUUAUCAACCCUUCUCUCGUUCUAAUCACCGGUGAUCUCACAUGUUUAUAUCUCUCUCCUUAUAUGUUCAAAUUUGUGGAUCAUAGGUUCUUAGGUUUUACUUAUACUUCUUAUAUGCAAGUCUGAAGCUUUAUUGAUUUGAGUUCAAUCUUUCCCCCAAAAAUUAUAACUUAUUGAUUUGAGUUCGAUCUUUCCCCCAAAAAUUAUAACUUUAACUUUGGGAACCAUUGUGGUUAGAUGGUUUUGUUUCGUGAAGAUUGCUGGUUGAUUCUUUUUCUUAAUUUGGUUAAUCAGAUAGGAAAAGCAAAGACAUGUUAACAAUGAAGCUAAAUGAAGAUGAGUGGUUAGAAUACGAGAGUGUGAUGAAAGAUGUUGUGAAAGAAGUGGGUUGAAUAAGAGCAUAUUCUAUGUAGAGAAGAGAAAUGUUGCAUCCGCGGAUUCUAUCAUCCGAGGAGCAAUAGAAAACAAUGAGAAACUACGAGCGCAGUUUUCUUCUGCGGUCACAACCACAUUAAGCAAUGUGGAUUCUGCAAACAGCGAUAUCAUCUCAUCCAUUGACCAAUCUUUACAACUCGAUAAAGACGUAUCAGUGGAUGUUAAUUCCACAAUCGCUCCUUGUUCUGAAAACUUGAAAGAACUAAGAAGCCACCAUGAUGGCAACGUAGUAGACAUCAAAGAAAAGACAGGAAAAUGUUUUGGUCACGAGUACAAGGUGGAUGAAGCAACAAGCUCAACGCCAAGGAAGAGAGAGUACAACAUUCCAACGGUAGGAUCAAUAGAAGAACUGAAAACGCCUUCAUUGGGUGCUGAAAGUACUUCCAACUGGUGGUAUCAGUUUACCGACCUUUCCGUUGGAUUCACGUUUUAUGUCAACAUCCUUUGCACGUCACAAAUAUGAAUGAUAGUAGCAUGAUCAUAGUUUUCAUGAUCAUAGUUUUCAAGAAGCAGUUCAUUCUCAACAGUGUUUUAUUGUUUCAUACAAAUAUUAUAUUAAUAAAUCAUAUGAUCUUACACUA
Non-coding RNA from Camelina sativa (false flax), 1584 nucleotides. The record is from RefSeq and is a predicted model, not a curated record. Lineage: Eukaryota; Viridiplantae; Streptophyta; Magnoliopsida; Brassicales; Brassicaceae.